CCGCCUGCCCGGUGAUCACAGAUUUAACGGCUGCGGUAUUUUGACCGUGCAAAGGUAGCGAAAUCACUUGUCUCUUAAAUGGAGACCUGUAUGAAAGGCAUCACGAGGGCUUAACUGUCUCCCUUUUCCAGUCAAUGAAAUUGAUCUCCCCGUGCAGAAGCGGGGAUAAAAGCAUAAGACGAGAAGACCCUAUGAAGCUUUAGAUUAUAUAACAGACUAUGUCAAGCAAACCUUAUAAUGAAUAAAACCCGAUAGCCCCUGUUAUAGUAUCUUUGGUUGGGGCGACCGCGGGGAACAAAAUAACCCCCAUGUGGAGUGGGAGAAUUUCCUCCUACCACCAAGAACAACAGUUCUAAGUAACAAUACUUUUGACCAAUAAGAUCCGGCAACGCCGAUUAACGAACCGAGUUACUCUAGGGAUAACAGCGCAAUCCUCUUCAAGAGACCUUAUCAACAAGAGGGUUUACGACCUCGAUGUUGGAUCAGGACAUCCUAUUGGUGUAGCC
This 506-nucleotide ribosomal RNA is filed under the name Serranus tigrinus (harlequin bass). Its description in RNAcentral is "partial 16S ribosomal RNA". It matches the Rfam family "Bacterial large subunit ribosomal RNA", at positions 1854 to 2560 of the family's 2925-position model. Lineage: Eukaryota; Metazoa; Chordata; Actinopteri; Perciformes; Serranidae. The record is from RNAcentral.